Molecule: long non-coding RNA, 2242 nt
Organism: Bacillus rossius redtenbacheri
Lineage: Eukaryota; Metazoa; Arthropoda; Insecta; Phasmatodea; Bacillidae
Exons: 2
Source: RefSeq, a predicted model, not a curated record
UUUAAAAUAAAGUUUUUUGUCGUAAAUAGGAAUUAUUUUCAAGAGAAGUUUGUUUUGUUUUCGUGCGCGUAGGAGACGAGACGUACGAAUUAAAUCAGUCGAGGGAAGGAUAAACGUUAGAAAGGAAUUAAAGAGAAAACGAGAGUUUAUGUAAAAGAGAGUUAUAGAAUUUAUAGUGAUGUUUUGUUUUAAUUAGAAAAAUGUUGAGAGUUGUUUCAGAACGACACGUCAGUGGACGUGGCAGAAUGAACACGUGACGGGGAGGUGCUGAGACCUAGCGGAGAACGGAGGAACCGCAAGCGAGGGUUGGCGCACCUGAUGGAAUUCGGUGACGUCACGGGCUCAUACGGAGACGUGGACAGGCCGUGACCUUGUUUUGAUCAGCUGUACGGUAACUUAGCGAUAAGAAAAUAGACUAUUGGUUAAAUACAUUUAAAUUUAAGUGUGUUUUAGGAGAAGAGGAACUUUCAGUAUAUUCCUUAAGAUGAGCUGAGCAGCAGUCCAGUUUACAAGAUGACAAGAGUUCGAGAGACAAGAUACAAGAUCACUGAAACAAGAGCCAAGACUGAAGAUUCAAGAGAAGAGAAAGCUGGCAGCCAUGGACUUACAAGUGGAGAUUAAUAAGGUCAUGUAAAGUUUUAUUUUUUUAUGGAAGACAGUAACUGGAGUUUUUUUUGUUAUAAACAUUAUUUACAGAACUUUUUAGGUUAUAGUAAUGUAAUGGAACUAGUGAGUUGUGGUAGCUGUCAAAAAGAACUAAUACCUUAAGUUUAAUUUUUAAAGUUAAUUUUCUUAAUUUACAGAGGGAUUAGUAGUUUUUUUAAAACCUUAUUUAGGUUGGAAUUUAAAUACAAUAGCUUAUUAUAAAUGUGUACGAACAGUUCAAGUUCACAGUACUGAUAGGUAGGUCAGAUGAUCUUAUUGAUUUUGAUGAUUUGUUGUUUUGAGUUGAUUUUUAAGUGUUGUGAAUUAGACAAUGAAAUAGUUCUGAAAACUUAAAUUAUUUCAAGCUAAGAAAUAGUAAAGUUAAUUGUAACUCAAAGGACACCAGAAUUUAAUUUUUUUUUGAAUUAGUAAUGUUUGAAAAUUUUAUACUUUACAAGAAAGGUUAUAAACAAACAGAUCGGAUGGAACAAGGAUGCAGUAAAUCACAAUUUCAUUUAGAAUUAUUGAUUAGCUUUUGAGGUUAUGAAGUAAAAGUAAUUAUAGUUUAAAAGUUUGAAUAAAAAAAAAUGUUUUUUUUUUAUUUGUUUGAAAUAGAAAGUUUAAAAGUUAAUUAGUCAUGAUCUAGGUGGGUGAUGGGGUGGGAAUUGGCCACUCUUUUUCCCUAUAACCUCCCUAACAUGGACUUCUAUUACAACUAACAGAAAUAAAGAAGAAGAAAAAUGAAGAAUUAUUAGUUAGAAUGUUUCUUUCAUGAAGAUACCUGAUGAACUUUUACUGUUUGGAAGAAUAGAAGCAAGGUUAGUCAGAUAUUUUUACUCAGAAGAAGAAGAAGAUAAAGCAGUUUUAUGACUCGACAAGCCAGAGAUUGGUGUUUCCCCUCUGCGCUUCUAUUGACUACGUUGUUUACUCUCAUGGGAUAGCUGGUUCGGCACCAUGGAGAGAGAUUGGUGGGCAUUGUGGUUGCCCCCAGAAGAAAAGAAGAGUAGAAGAGGUUAUGGGUGGGUCAUGUGAACUGACCUUCAACCCAGUUACUUCGUGGGGACUAUUUGCUGUAUAGAGAAGAUCAAGACUCAAGAGUUAGGGAAAAUCAUUGGAGGUCAUGUUUCCCUUCCUUAAGUUUUUCCUAUCAAAUUAUUUGCCUGAUUAGAUUAUGCUAAGGGUGGGAUACUUUAUGUUAGCAGUUGAAUUAAUUAAUUUUAUUUUUUUGUGUGUUUGCAUCCUUGCCCAUCGAUUGCAGUUUAGUAGUUAGUUUUGUAUUUGUCAGGCGUGAUGGUAAUGCCUGUUGAUGAUGUUUCAGAAUUGUAAUCUGUUCGUGAUGAGGAUGGCACAACUCCGAAGCAGAUGUGGGGAGAAGUUGUGAGCUGCCCUGGAAGCCAGUCCAGUAGCUGUUGGAGUUGAGUGGUGUUUGCUGAUGGCCAGCCCAGGGAGCUACUCUUCUCGACAACACUGACUUCGAGGAGUUGCACCAACCUUCACGAGAUAAGAGUUUAAUUAAUUGAAACACUGUAAGGACACUUAAUUUUUUUUGAAGAACGAAAGAAGUAUGGUAAUAAACGGAAACCGAAAAAAAAAAAAA